CAGCAGUAGGGAAUCUUCCGCAAUGGACGAAAGUCUGACGGAGCAACGCCGCGUGAGUGAUGAAGGUCUUCGGAUUGUAAAGUUCUGUUGUUGGGGAAGAACGAUGCCUUUGAAAAUAUUGGGUGCCCAUGACGGUACCCAAGGAGGAAGCCACGGCUAACUACGUGCCAGCAGCCGCGGUAAUACGUAGGGGGCAAGCGUUGUCCGGAAUUAUUGGGCGUAAAGGGCGCGCAGGCGGAUUGUUAAGUCCGGCGUGAAAGACCACGGCUCAACCGUGAAAGUGCAUUGGAAACUGGUUAWCUUGAGGACAGGAGAGGAAAGCGGAAUUCCUAGUGUAGCGGUGAAAUGCGUAGAUAUGAGGAGGAACACCAGUGGCGAAGGCGACUUUCUGGUCUGUAACUGACGCUGAGGCGCGAAAGCGUGGGGAGCAAACAGGAUUAGAUACCCUG
This 449-nucleotide ribosomal RNA is filed under the name uncultured Eubacteriales bacterium. RNAcentral describes it as "bacterial SSU rRNA". It matches the Rfam family "Bacterial small subunit ribosomal RNA", at positions 349 to 789 of the family's 1533-position model. The record is from RNAcentral. Lineage: Bacteria; Bacillati; Bacillota; Clostridia; Eubacteriales.